This 6920-nucleotide long non-coding RNA is filed under the name Homo sapiens (human). RNAcentral describes it as "HSALNT0281880". The record is from RNAcentral. Lineage: Eukaryota; Metazoa; Chordata; Mammalia; Primates; Hominidae.
GCUAUAUAUGUGAUGGGAUAUCACUCCCAUGAUUACUUUAUGUUAUAAGACACAGUUGACUGUAAGAAAGGGAGAUUAUCCUUAGUGGGGCUGACCUAAUGCAGUGAGCCUUUUAGAGCCAAGAGUUUUCUCCAGAUGGUCACAGAAGAGGAAGGCAGAGUGAUACUGGCUGGCCCAGAAGAAAGCAAACAUCCACGUGAAGCACCUAGGGUCUAUAUGGUAAGGAACUACAAGCAACCUCCAGAAACUGAGCACCGUCCCCAGCCAACAGUUAGCAAGAAAAUAGGGAUCUAAAUUAUAUAACUUCAAGGAAAUAAAUCCUGCCAACAACCAGUGAUCCUGGAAGAGGACUCCAAGCUCCAGAUGAGAGCCACAGCCCUGGCCAAUUCCUUGAUGUCAGCCUGGUGAGACACUAAGCAGAAAAAUCCAGGUGGAACUCCCAUCUCCCAUCCCCCUGGGGCAGGGGAAAGGAAUUUGUGGCAGCUGAAUUCAUACCUCCUGGUGCUAAGGGUCCUAGAGGUAUCUGGCUCCUAAGCAAGCCCGUUUCAAGGGAGGAAGCUGAGAAAGAGGAGCAUCAAUUAUAACCAAGGCCUAUAUUCAUGCCUCUUGCCCAACAAAAUGGUGAACAAGACUCCACCUACUUCAAGGAUUGGGAGAAUAGAGAGUGGAAUGGGAACAACUGGUCUAUCAAUGAGAAGAAAGUGCCAACUGAAAACUUUUAGAAAAUACCCAGUUUACUCAAGGAAAAUAACAUGCAUUGAAGGUGAUUGCUCAAUAGAGAGAAGUUGAAACAGCAGACUAAUUGCCUGUUUGUGACACCCAUGUAAUCAACUUGGUGAAAGUUACAUUGAUACAGACACAAGCGAAAAAUUUGAUGGCCAAUAGGGGACAUGAUCCAUUUUCCAGUGCCUAUAGGUUGAGGUUGAUCUGAAAGAUAGGACUAUUUGUGAUCCAGAAUCAAAAGAGUCAAGAAAAGUCUGAGAAUUUCAUCCUUGGAGCAGAAAGUGAAAGUGUUCUGGAGCCAAAAGUAGUAACAAAGAUGGAGGGCAAGAGAUCAUUGGAUUAAAUCAUAUUGGCAGACCAAAUUUCAGAAGAAUCAACACACCAGAGACAAGAAGAACUUGAAGUUAAAGCAAAGUUCCCUUAUACUGGAGAAUUCUUCUGCAUUCUCUGCUCAAAUAUGAUGCCCCCCACCAUGAAGAAGAGAUUCACCUUGGAUAUAACCACAAUUUACCCCCCUCAACAGAUCCCAGGAGGCUGCUGCUUACCUACUAGGGAGCCCACCUGCCUCGCUUUCUGCUUCCCCAGUCCUAUCCAUCUUGCUCCAUAUGAACUUUCCCAGGCCCAAGCUGCAGAUAUGAGAAUGAUAGCUACUCAUCAAACCUUUUUCCUUGUCUUGUUGAGCACACAGCUGGACCCCAUUUCAAAGCCUCUGUUGAGGUUAGAUAUGGUCAUGUGCCUGAGUCCUAGCCAAUAGAAUGUAACUGGGAACUGUUGUGUGUCUCUUUGAAAUCUGGCUGAUGAAUACCCACCCCCAUGCUACCCUCCAUGUUGUUUCCCUUUGUACUGACUUGAUGCAAUUGAGCCCAGGAAGCUUCAAAGCUAUAUGCUGAGGAUGGAUUUGAUAUCACAGAGGAAGCCUGGGUCCCUACAUCACUGCUUUGAGAACUGCUGCCCACCUUUUGGACCACCCAUUUUGGACUUAACAUGAGCAAGAAAUAAACUUUUCUGUUUGAACCAUUAUAUAUGUUUGGAUUUGUAUGUUGCAGCAGCUACAAUUACCUUAACCAAUAUGGACCCCCUGAGAAAAGUUGUUGGACCAAUAUGCAUUUAAGCUCAGGUUUCAAUUUUUCACACAUGAAAAAUUAUAAAUACAUAUAACUUUGAGCUUCUUUAGGAAAGAACGAAUACCCUAACUGGCUUGGUAUUCUCCCAGUAAAUAGUUCUUGAAAGGGUAUUUCAUAUAGUAGAAAUUCAAUGACUGCCUGUUCAAAAUGUUUAAAUGUUCAAGUCUUAAGAAAAAAAUGUCAACUACGAGAAGAUUAAGGAUUCAUUUACAUAGUGAGAGCUAAAUGAAGUCUUACUGAAUAAAUAAAUGAAUGAGUGAAUAAAUGGUAUAUUUGAUGAAAAUAAGUCUCACCUUAAGAUUCACAGAGAAAUUUGCUUAUCUGUAAGAUAAGGAUUGUGAUACCUUGCGCUUUCUACCUCACACGAAAUGUGUUAGUAUCAAAUCAGAGAAUUUACUUUCAAGCAUUUACUUUCUAAAUUACCAAGUGCUAGACACAUGUGAGUUCUCCAGUAUAAUUUAGAUAGAUUACUUUAUGUUUUGUCAGUAUGUUGACAGUUUAUUGAUAAUGGAGUUGAAACUCAAGGAAGGAGAAUAAUCUGUGAAGCACUUCUGAACAUCUUGGAGAUUUUUUUAAAAGUUAUAUUGGUGACCUGAAGAUUUUAGACCUCUUAAAAUUCUGAAUUACUAUUAACUUGCAGAUAAAAUAAUGCCAUUAUUUACCACUGGACUCAAGAGAACAUCUUUGUGUAUUAUUGGUACCCUGAAAUUAUAACUAAUCAUAUCCCCUCUGUAUCUCCCUAAGAUGUAUCUGCCACUUCUUAGGUUCCUACUUAGUGAUUAGAGUCAGAAAAGCAUUAAUCAACACUGCUGUGCCAAAUACUAUGGAAAUUCAUUUAACCAUAUUACAUAAUUGAAAUGUCAGAAUGUUUAAACACUUUCUGUCAUAUGAAAAUAUAUUGGAAAUGUCUAGAACCAAGCUGGCAGAGAAAAACACAAGGAAUGUUCUUAUAAAACAAAUGAGAUCUAGCUGGGCAUGGUGGCAUGUGCCUGUAGUUCCAGCUGCUCAGGAGGCUGAGGUGGGAGGACUGCUUGAGCCCAGGAGUUUGAGGCCAGCCUGGACAACAUAAUGAGAUCUCCAUCACUAAAAAUAAAUUUUAAAAUAAUGGAUAAGAAAGAUUUAAUGAUCCAUGGAAUGGUUGUUUGUGGGCUUUUGGUCAGAAGCCUGAGAGUGGGGAUUAGACAAAAGUGGCUGUCCAAUGUGUCAGUGGUGAUGCCAAUCUCUUGCCAGCUGAAAUUGAGAAGUAUAUGCAGCAGGCUUCAAUGACUGCCCUCACUGCUGAAAAGAAUAUAUCUUGUAUUGCCUGGGCAGGUGACCUUCACCAGGGGUUAAGAGAAUUCCUGUGAGUUCAUUGUGAGACUACCUCUCUUUCAUUUCCCAGUCCUUCAUCAGAAAAUUCAAGAGGCUCCUAUCACAUCCUAGAAUAAAGAUUUCCUUUAUGCAGGCUCCAUCCUCCAUCAGUAGGAGUCAAGUGGUAGCCCCAAAUUCUGCAUAUUUCUCUCACUCCUUUCAAACUGUCCAAUACUUACUAGCACUUUCUUCUUUGGAACAUCAUGUCCUAUAUUUCUGUCAUUUCAGUCACAAGAAGUGUAGGGCCCUAGAUCGUCCCCUAUCCCUUGGCCUUUAAUCUCCUUAUGGCUCCAAAAAUUGCCUUUUCUGCCACCAUCUCCCUUCUGCCCCAUCUCCUGAAAGAACUGGAACUUUCUGUCAAGCAUCUAUCAAUUAUCAACCAAAUUCCCUACAUCCCCUCACAUUUCCUUAUUUUAUUUGCUGGAACUAAAACUCACCUCUCCUCAAAGGACCCUGCUUGCCUUGCAGCCUCCUCAAGGGGUGGCUGUUUUCUCUCCCAGACCCCUCAAAGCACUGAGUCUGGAUGUGGGGUAGUGUCCUCCUCCCUCCUCAUUGCUUCUUCCAGAUCAUUAUUCCUCAUUUCUCCCUAAGACUACACAGUUUGAAUGACUUCAAUAUUGCCAAACCUCAAAGUGUAUUUGAGUCUUCAUUUUACUUGAUAGAUCAGCAGCAUUUUACACAGUUGAUCACUCUCUUUCUGCUGAGACAGUUUCUUCACUUGACUUCCAGGACACCACACUCUCCGGCUUGCUUCCUGCUUCACUAGUUGCUCCUUCUCUGUUCCUUUGCUACUUCCUUCUCAUCCCACUUAUCUCUAAGUGAGAGCCCCUGCACUUAAUCUUUGAACCUUGCCUCUUCUCUGGAUACACUUGCUGCCUUAACAAUCUCAUUUAAUCUCAUGAUUUUCUAUGCUUUCUAUAUGUUGAUGACUCUACAAGUUAUAGCUUUAUUCCAGAACUUUCUCCUGAACUUGAGAUGUAUGUAUCCAAGGGCUCACCUGACAUCUUCAUCUGGAUAUUAAUAGGUAUUUCAAAAUUAACACAUGAAAAACUGAGCUCCUGAUUUUUUCUUCAGAUCUUCUUCUCUUGAAGCCCCUCCAACCCACACCAAUCUCAGCAAAUGACAAUCCCAAUCUUUCAGUCAUUCAGGCCAAAAACUUUGAAGGCAUCCUUGACUCCUUUCUUUCUCUCACACUGCACAUCAAAUUUAUCAGAAAACCCUAAUGGAUCCUCUUUCAAAAUAUAUGUAUGGUAUCUGACCAGUUCUUACUGGCUUUACAACUACAACCCUGGCAACUGUUAUCUGUUACUUGGAUUGCUGCAAUAACUUCCUAACUGAUCCUUCUACUUCUGUCCUUGCCUCCUUCAUUUCUAUUCUAAAAAAAAGCAGCCAAAGUAAUUCUGUUAAACAUAAGCAGAAUAUAUCACUCGUUUGAUUAUAACCCUACAAUGGCUUCCUAGCUCACACUGUGUAAAAGUUAAAGUCCUACAAUAACCCUUCAAAGUUUUUGGCUAAGUAUGUAAGAUAUCUAGUGUGAUAGCAUUAAGUGCUGAGGUGGAAAAUUAAAGCAGGGAAUGGAAAUAGAGAGCAUCAAAGAUAGAGUGAUGAUUGCAUUUUAAAUAGACUUGAAGGAGAUAAUAGAGUAUGCCAUACAGAUAUUUAGGGAAAUAAUAUUCUAUGCAGAGAAAAGAGCAGGUGCAAAGGCCCUAAGGCAGAAGCAUGCUGGAAUAUACAAAGAACAGCAAGAAAGCUUUGCGCACUGGAGUGGCAGGAGAUGAGGUGAGACAGGCCUAUUGAUAAUGUCUCUUUCACUAAAAUAUAACAUGCAUGUGGAUAGAAAUGUUUGGCCUAUUUUAUCUACUGUUUUAUAACUAGAACUCAACUCUCAGCUAGCAUUCUACUCACACUGACCAUGUGUUCUGAGUUACAGUGGCAUUUUAUGUUACAGAAUCUUUUUUUGAGACCGGGUCUGGCCCUGUUGCCCAGGCUGAAGUGCAGUGGCGUGAUCUUGGCUCACUGCAACCUCUGCCUCCCAGGCUCAAGCCAUCCUCCCACCUCAGCCUCCCGAGUAGCUGGGACUACGCGCACACCACCAUGCCUGGCUAGUUUUUAUAUUAUUUGUAGAGACAGGGUUUCGCCAUGUUGGCUAGGCUGGUCUUAAACUUCUGAGCUCAAGUGAUCCACCUGCCUUGGCCUCUCAGAGUGCUGGGAUUAUGGGGUGUGAACCACCACACCCAGCCUAUGUUACAUAAUUUCGGUUUUUAGUGUCCAUAAUUACGGUCUGAAAUAGGUCAAGGGGACCCCAUGAUGGUCCUGGGAGAUGAGCAUUGAGACUACAAUGAUAGAAUGGAUCAGACCAUGCUUGAAGGACCUCAGAAGGUCUAGUCAAACUGUCAACUAACCCUCAUAGUUUGCAGAGCUGCUGGGAGACAAAAUCAUGUCCAGAACUCUGGAGCCACAGGAUUCCUUUGGGUCCCCAGAACUUCUUUGGAAAAGAUUAUAAUGGCUUUAACAUCAUUAACGUUUAUUGGGUUUUUACAAUGUAACAGGCAUGGUUCUAUGCACUUUACACAACUAAUUCAUUGAAUUCUCUCAACAACCUAAUGAGGUCAGAACUAUUAUCCUCAUUUUUGAUGUGAGAAAACUGAAGUACAGAGAGGUUAUGUGGCUUCCAAAGUCACAUAGUUUAAAAGUGGCAGAGACUGGAUUCAAAUGUAAACAAUAACCACUGCCGGGGUACCAUGGGAAGUUGUGGUCCAGACACUAAAUCAAGCUGCACCCAAGGUGUCCUAAUCCUACUCCUUCUUUCUCCACUGGAUGAGAGAAAAGGAGCAGGACCUAAGCCUCCUGAUUUUGUGGGAAUUUGCUUUUCUGUUCCAUGUUUCUCCCUCCGCUGCCCUUCUAUGCAUUGAAAUGAUGGGCAGGGGAACAUUUUCCGCCUCUGGAGGCAGGCGAGCAAAGACUCGAUGCACUUCCCCACCUCUUGCACUGGCUCAUACUUUAAUGGCUGGAAGUUUAAAAUCACAUCCCAAGCUUCUUGGAACUCAAAAUUCAGUUAUCUGACUCAGUAAAAUGUAGCUUUCUCACUUAAAAGGAUUUGCCCAAGGGGCCUCUGGGAUUUCAAAUAUACUUAAAAGCAACAACUGUGUUGAAUCAUAGAAUCAUAAGGGAUUGCAUUUCCGCUGGAGAACAGACAGGAUGUUUUAAACAGAGGGGGAAAUGUUUGAAGUUCGCCAAGCUUUGAGUUUCAUCCCACCCACCACAUCUGAAAACUAUCUGAGUCAUUUGAUGAAGGCAAAAUACAGCUGGGCUCCCUUAUUCUUAGUGUUAUUGUGGCCUACCAUCUUGACAUUGUGAUGCUAUCUGUGCAAGAACAUUUCACCUACAUCUACCAACCCUUUUCUAAACUGGAAUCAGGAAGAGUCUGUUCUCCAAAGUCUAUCUGGAGUGGAGUGGGCUGAGGGUGGUGUGGAGUAAAUAUUCUUAUAGACAGAAGGCAAAUACAGCUCUAGACAAAACAGUGAAGAGAAACAGGUUUGUCCAUGGCCCUGAGCUGCUGUCAAGGAGGUUACAGGGCCUUUAUCUCUUUCAUGGUGCUGCAGUAUUGUGUAGUGUGUUUAUGAACGUAGAUUUGGGAGUCAAAAAGAUACACGUUUAAUCUUGACCCUACCCACUUAUUUACUCACUGUGAAUCCUUGGGCAGAUUACUUAACCUUUCUAAUU